GUAUCAACAUAUCAACUAUGCCCUUAUCAACUUUCUUUAGUCUUUUUAAGCAUUUGCUAGUAAAUAAUUUGUUGGUACGUGUAUAGGAAUAAGGACUGAAUAGGAAAGUUGAGCAAUGAAUAUACAGAUAUAAGUCAUAUCUGUUUUUCCAUCAUGCCUAAUUUUCUGUUGUGCUUGUUACCAUUAGCUUUAUUUUUCAAUCAAACCAUUUUAUUAACUUUUUACAAUUUCAUUUAAGCAGAUAUCUAGUGUUAAAGGUGAAAGUGAACCCACAGAGGUGGAGGAUGAAUAUGUAAGAAACACUGUUGGUGAUGCCUCUGAUAAAGGAAAGCCAACUGGGAAGCCUGCAGACGUAGAUGAUGUGGUAGAUGAUGUGCACGAAGAAACCAUAGGACAUACAUGUGACGAACAACAUCAAGAAAAUGUUGAGAGCAACGAAAAAAACGAGGAUGGUGAACAGAGAGAAGAGGAACAUCAAACUCUUCAACAAGAGGAAUUGGUUUCUGAAGUUGAAAAUCAAGAGACAACUUCCACAACAGGAGCAAACAAGAUGGAGAUCUCGAAAGAAGGCGAAAACCUCAUUAAUACGGUAACCUGCUUUAUUCAAUUACAUAGUAUGUUAAAUUCCUUGGGACCUAUCUGGAAGCUAAAAUAACUUACCUAGCAUAUCUCCUCUUACUGACUCGAGAACCCUUUAUUUCUUGAUUGUUAAGCAGCACAAAAUUAUGUCUAAACAAAGAGCAAAAAAGUAAGCAAACUUAUUUAAGGAUAUGAUAACUCACCUUGUAGGUGAAGCAUACUAGUUUAUAUCAUCAUGGCUUUUAAAGGGAAUUGUCUAAAGUGAAACUCUUUUCUCAUAAUCACUAAUUGUUACCUCCAUCCAAAACUAGUUAUCUACACAAACAUUAAGGGUUUGUAUGUUGUGCAGUUGUACAGAUUUUUCACACUCCCUAUCAACCAUUACCACAUGCACCUUGAGCAAACAGUAAGUCAUCUGCUGAACAAGAUACUCGUGCAUCUAAAUAGGCCAUAUAGAUUUUGCAUUGAAAGACAAUACAAUAAUUCUAGCCUGUAAACUCUUUUCUGAAACUUGUCUUUUAUUAAACUUCUGAUUUACCAACUAUGGGCAGAUUUCUGAGUCAGUAAAUCUGGAGGAAACUAAAAUUGAACAUGGGAAGGAUGACAAGAAGAUCAAGGAGAGUGUUGAAGAUAAUCCCCGAGAUCAUGCCUUGCCUUCACAAACAAUACAUGAUGUAGCAGACGCAGACCACGCAGAAGCAAAUCAAAGUUUGGAGGGGAAGGACGACAAUAUUGCGAGUCUUGAGAAAGAAAGUAUCAAAAGCAAGGGACCUGAUGAGGUUCACCCCAGUGAAUCAGAAACACAUCAGAGUUUGGUGGACAAAGACAACAAUAUUGUAAGUCUUGAAAAAGAAAGCAUUGAAAGCAAAGGGCCUGAUGAGGUUCAACUCGGUGAAUCAGAAGCCACCAAGGUAGACUUUCUUUUGAAUUCUUCAAAACUUUAUGUAUUUAAUUUAACUAUUCAAUUUGCUUUCCUUGAACUCACUGUUUUUCCAACAUGCCUCCUCAUCUCAAGUUUGACUUGUGAAAAAUUUGAUCAACCAGGUUGCUGAAAUUGUUAGCACAACUGAUGAGGCUGAAACUACGUCUGUAGACGGAGGGGAAAGUGUUGAUGUCGACAAAGAUAAGGCAGAGUAUCAAGAGCACAAAAAUGUUAGAGGGUCAGUGAUGGAGGAAUAUAAUCAAGGGGAAGCAAAUGAAACACAAAUGGCCAAGAGCCAUGAGGUAAUAAUUGAUUCAAUGCCACGUAUGGUUUCUUACUAAGUCCAAAAUUCGUAUAUUUUACUGCAUGGCCAGAAGUAUAGAAACGAUUGAACUAAUAAUUCUUAACUUCUCCUCUAAAACCCUCAUUUCAAUAUAACAUUAAUUGUUGUCCUAUCUUGAUCAGAUCCCUGAAAUGGAUGAUCUAAGCCCUGAAAAGGCUUCGGAGACAAAUAAAUCGGUGAUGAAAGAUAUACAUGACAAAACUAAAACAAAGCAUGAAGAGCCAGAUUUUGCAAGUAACAAGCCAAUUAAUCAGACUAACAUGCCUGAACAAAGUCGAAUUCCUGAAGAAGAAAAUACUAUCAUGGAAAGCAAAACGGAGUCAAGCUUCCCAAAGGAUGCAAUUGAAAAUGCCCUGAAAUCAGACCCUGAUGAGAAAGAUGAGGAAAUGCUAAAGAAUGAGGAAUCCUCACAUAUUUUCCCAGAGUCCUCUCCCAACGUUGAUCAUAAAAUUGCUAGGGGAUUAUCUCAUCAAGAUGAAGGGAACAAGAUAUGUGAGGAUGCAGCACUAGAAACCCCAUCUGGCAAUCAAAGCCGUGAAGCAGAUGAGGAGCAAAUAGAAAUUGGGAAACCUAAAAAGCUGAACGAACUUAAACAAGAUAUUCCUAUGAAGUACUUUGAUGCUGUAAACAGUCAAGAAGAGACGAUACAUAAAGAAAAUCCUGAUAAUGUGGAAGAGAGCGAGAAGUGUGAAGUAAAGGAUGAAACUGCUUUAACACUCGAGCGAGCAUCUGCAGCGGACUCUGAAGAGCCCAGUCAUUGGCUGUUUAGCAGUUGUGAGAAGGUAUCCAAGUCUUAACCCAUACAAAAAUUUCAACAUUCUUUAUCCUUAUUUAUGAAUUGUUAAUGAAUAAACUAUUGACAAAGAAUUUUAAGUUUCUAUCCGCACAAGUUGUGCCCACCAUGCCAUACCAUGCAGACAAUAUAUCAGCAUGAUACCACCCGCAUGCCGAUGGCACAACUCAAAAUCAUUUUUUUUUCAAAAAUUAACAAGUAGCUACAUUAAUCAAAUACCAAAGAAUAUAGUUGUGCCAAAAGAAAAUAUAUGUUUUCAUAGUUGGAUAAAUUGAGUAGAAAAAGUAUAUGAAGCAGAAAGAUGAAAAAGUCUUUGAGUGUAGCAAUGCCACUCUCCUUAAAGCUAAAUCGUCCCCACCAUUCUCGUAAUUUGGUGUGCACUGGGUUAACAAAUAGCUUCUCAGGAUACAAUGAAAUAUAAACCUCAACUUCGUUUGCACACGUGAAGUCGAGCCUUUGAGCACUCACUCGAUUAAAUUGUCAAAAAGAAAAUAGAAUAAGAAACAAGAAAUUAUUAUAGAUAGAGACUUAAACUUUCCAACUGUCCUUCAGCAGUCAACGUUAUGGACUUAUAUGGACCACGAACAGGUGCUUUAUGAAGUGACAAUUCAUGAACGGGUGCUUCAUGAAGUGACUUUUCCUUUGAUCAUAACUAUCAAUUAGUUAUAUGAGUCAAGUUCAAUGAAUGUAAGAAUUAAUUUCAACGGACAUCCAUGAAAGGACACACUAAAAAGUUGUCUUUCUAUGUCUUAUCCUUUCAAUAAAAAUCACAUCCUUUCAUAUUCAUUCACCAAGAGUUACGACCUUUGAUUAGAGUCACAUCUACUCACUAAGAGUCGCAUUUGUACUAAGGGUUGCAUCCAUUCACUAAAACUCAAAGGACAAAAUAAAUAUAUAUUUUAAAAAUUUCCUUACAUUCAUGCCACAAUGUAUUGGCACAUAGAUAUCGUGCCAACAGCAUAGAUUGACACGGCAUAGCACGAUGGUGUGCCAUGCCACACCGUUGCUUAGCAUGAACCUGCAACUGACUAAGUGCAAAAUGUAGAUCAGAAGAUGAAAGAUGGGCAACCAAAAAAAAAAAGAGAAAGUAAGAUUUGUAGUUUCUGCAAGGGGCAUUUUAGCCAACUAAUCUCAUCCAAACUUUAUAUUCUAAAAAUAGGCCUACGAAAAUCGUAUUUACGGAAAUAGGCACGAAACUGCCACGUAAGCAGUGAGAUAGCGGAGGAAGAUAGAAGCCGUGAACCAAGUACCACUUUCAAGUGAAGACGGUAAAUGAUUCACCGCUUUCAUAAAAUUUUAAAAAUCCUAUGAAGGCGGUGAAUGGUUCACCGCCUUCAUGCAAUUCCCCGCGCAGAAUAUAAUAGUUAUGAACGCGGUGAAUGGUUCACUGCAUAUUAAGGCGGUGAAUCAUUUACCGCUUUUAUAUGCAGUGAUCCAUUCACCGCAUUUAUGAUAACCCCCACCCAGCCAAUUAGUUUGCAGAUUCCCACAUUAUACAAAAUAGCAAUAUUUUCAAGCAUUUCAAUUACAAGAAUAAAUACACAAAAUCAUCUAUAUCAACUUCAACCACACUUUAAGCAUAUAAAAUGAGCCAUACCAAUAUCAAGAUACUUCAAUAUGAAUAAAUUUAGAUAAUACCAUAAAAAAUCAAUGUAGAAAAAAUCAGAAAUAUCAAAUAUACAUGAGAAUCCCAAAAAUGAUAAACAAAAUCAAGUCCCCUCCAUCCCCCUCACAUGCUCUCGCCCUCGUCCCCUGCCACGUCCACGUCUGCGUCCACAACCGCGUCCUCGACUUCGUCCUCGAAUAUGCAUAUCAUGCUCCAUCCCAGGCUGCACGGGCUCAAUGACAUGCAUCUGAUCAAUAUGCUCAAUGGCGAUGCCCUCGACAAUCGGCUCCACCCCUUGCUCAUCAGCCGAUGGUACUGCGUCUCAAUAUGACCCUAUCAUCGUCGCCUACAUCAAUAUACAACAUCAUCGCAAUGAACCUAUGACGUGGAUGAAACGUCAGGAGGGAUAGGCAUGAAUGGAAUAUCAAAAUAGGAUACCUCUGACGUAGAUGGAAUAUCAAAUGGAGGGAUGGAUGCCGACGAAAUAUCAAACUCCACUUCUGAUGUCGAAGGGAUAUCAGAUGUCGAAGGGACAUCAGAUGGAUGAAUCGGGACAGAUGUCGAUAGAAAAUCAUAUGUAGGCAUGGAGGUGGAGGGAAUAUCACCAAAAUCAUAUACAGGCAUGGAGGUGGAGGGAAAAUCACUGUAAUCAGCAAAAGCCGGAGAAGGAAUAUCCGGAUGCCCUGUCACGGGAAAAGGGCCACCAACAACUACAUUCGAAAAUUCGUACUCCCUACAAUUGAUAGAAGAAGGCAAUCUAAAAUAAUUAUACAAUUGUUAUAUUAAAAUAAUUAUACAAAAGUCAUAUUUUGCAAUACUAACCUGGGUGCAUUUGCUCCUCCUCCAAUAUCAGCACGAAAAUGUUCUCUUUCGGGGCCAGGGAAUAAUACAUCCACAUUAAAGUCACUAUUUAACAUUCUAGAAUAAUACCCCUGAGAUAAAACCAUCUGUUUUUCAACGAAGAUUAUCAAACACGGAGGGUUCCCCGACAAUGCCAUCGCACCACACAAUGAGUCAUCAUCCGUAACUUCAACAACAUCGAACUGAUUCAUCCCAGUCGAAUAUCGGACUUUGAUAAUUAGACGAUACUCAUCUCUUGGGGUAUCGGUCAAUCUAUAUAUUUUUCUCUCGAAUUCUGUAAAUGUAAUAUCCACUGGGAUACACACUUAAUUUCUUACGACCGCCAACGUACUGUGGAUUGCUAUCUUGAGUGAAUAGUUCUCCAUUCCAAUGAACAAUAAUAGCCACAUUACUACGCGCCAUCCUAAUUUUUACAAAAUAUAAUAUUUAUAAACUAACAUAAUCGUAGCAAUAUUUGACCAAUUUAUAAUAUCAAUUUGCAAAUGACAUGUGUUCACUACAUCAGAAAAUAAUAAAUUUAUAAUAUUGUAAUAAUUUUAAAAAAAAAUUAUUAAUUUUUAGUAUAAAUUUAUCAAUUUUCAGUAUAUAUGUAUUUACUACACUCAUUUUUCAAAUUUCAUCAUACGAUGAUGCAAAUGUAAGGAAAUUUUUAAAAUAAUAUAUUUUGUUUAUUAAUUUUUAGUGAAUGGAUGCAACCCUUAGUGAGUGGAUGCAACUCUAAUCAAAGGGUGUAACUCUCAGAGUUAAAGGAUGUGACUUUUAGUGAAAGGAUAUGACAUGAAAAGACACAUCUUUAUCGUGUGUCUCUUCGAGUAUAUGUCCGUUGGAAUUAAUUCUUACAUUUAUUGAACUUGACUCAUAUAACUAAUUGGUAGUUAUGGUCAAAUGAAAAGUCACAAUUGAAAGAUCACUUCACGAAAUACCCGUUCAUGAAUAGUCACUUCAUGAAGCACCCGUUCGUGGUCUAUAUAAGUCCACAGCGUUGGUUGCAGAAACGAAAGUAGAAAAAAAAAGGAACAGUUGAAGAGUUUUAAGUCUCCAUUCAUAAUAAUUCCAUUCUUGUUUUCUUAUUCUUUUUGACAACUUAAUCGAGUAAGUGCUCAAAGGCUCGACUUCGUGUGUGCAAACGCAGUUGAGGUUUAUGCUUCAUUGUAUCUUGGGAGGCUGUUCGUUGACCCGGUGCACACCAAAUUGUUAGAACAGUAGUGACGGAUUAAGCCUUAAGGAAAGUGGCAUUGCUACACGCCUUGAAGCCUUUUUUCAUCUUUCUGUUUCAUACCUUUUUCACUAUCUGCUCUUAAAUCCGAAAAUGUCGACUGCUACUCAACGAGAGAUGACAACAAACUUUAUAAGACUAGAAAGAUUUGAUGGCAUGGACUUCAGGCGCUGGCAGAAGAAAUUAUUUUUCCUUCUGUCGACUCUCAAAGUUGCUUAUAUCCUCACUACUCCAAGACCAGAAGAAAACGAUGAUGAACCUAUUGCACAAACUUGUACAAGACAAAAAUGGGAUGAAGAUGACAAUAUAUGCCGAGGCAACAUUGUAAAUGCUAUGUCGGAUGCGCUUUUUGACGUCUAUCAAAAUAUGAAAAUGGCUAAAGAACUGUGGGAAGGUCUUGAAGAAAAAUACAAAUCCGUGGAUGCCACAAGUAAGAAGUUUCUUGUUAGCAAAUUUAAUAACUAUAAAAUGGUUGAUAGUAGAUAUGUUCUUGAUCAAUUACAUGAAAUUCAACAUAUUCUCAAUCAACUUACUCAACAUAAUAUGAAUAUGGAUGAAUCUAUAAUUGUGGCCUCUAUUAUCGAUAAACUUCCUCCAUCAUGGAAAGACUUUAAGAAAAGUCUUAAGCAUAAAAAGGAAGAGAUUACUCUUAAAGAUUUGGCUAACCAUCUUCGCAUAGAAGAAUAUCGUUUGCAUGAUGGCAAAAAGGAGCAAGAUGCUCGGAGUGUCAAAGUGUAUGUGACGGAAGAUGAGUAUAAUAAAACCCGUCAACCCAUAAAAGAAAAUCGAAAGAGAGCCAAACAUCCGAUCAACCACAACAUGACAAAUAAGAAAAAGAAAGAUGCAUGCUUUCAUUGUGGUAAACCGGGUCACUACAAGAAAGAAUGUCGGUUCCUCGAAAGGGAAAGUGCACCGGAUUCCAAAAGGAAUUUUGUGGCUAUGAUAUCCGAGGCUAACAUACUCGAAGAUGACGGAGUUUGGUGGAUUGAUUCAGGUUCCACAAGACGUGUGCAAGGAUAGAAGUUUAUUUAGAACUUAUGAUGCAUUGGAGGAUGGAAAUGUUCUCUAUGUGGGCAAUUCUUCAACAGCACAAAUCAAAGUAAAGAACACUCCAAUGAGAAAACUGAUGUUGUAAUUGAAACCCCAAAACUUAGAAGAAGUAAAAGAGUUAGAAUUGCUAAAACAUUUGGACCGGAUUUUUAUACUUUUCUUGUUGAGGGUAGUAGAGAAAUGAUUACAGAAAGUUUUCAAUUUUGUUUAAACAUUGACUCAGACCCCUAAACAUUGACUCAGACCCCACAACAUUUGAGGAGGCAAUGAAAUCUCCUGAUGUCACUUUUUGGAAAGAAGCGAUAAAUGAUGAAAUGGACUCAAUUAUGGCCAACCAAACAUGAAAAUUAGUUGAUCUUCCUCAUGGAUGUAAACCUAUUGGGUGUAAAUGGAUUUUCAAAAAAAAAUCAACGUAAAUGGCACCAUAGAUAAAUUCAAGGCAAGACUUGCUGCCAAAGGGUUUACACAAAAAGAAGGCAUUGAUUAUUUUGAUACCUAUGCACCUGUUGCCAGAUUAGCGACCAUUAGAACUUUGAUUGCUCUUGCUUCUAUGUAUAAUUUGAUUAUUCAUCAAAUUGAUGUCAAAGCUGCAUUCUUAAAUGGAGAAUUAGAUGAAAAGUUUAUAUGGAACAGCCCGAGGGCUUUGUUGUUCUUGGACAAGAGCAUAAAGUGUGUAAACUUGUCAUGUCAUUGUAUGGGCUUAAACAAGCACCUAAACAAUGGCAUCAAAAAUUUGAUCAGAUUGUUCUUUCCAAUAGUUAUAAAAUUAAUCAAUCUGAUAAAUGUAUUUAUAGUAAAUUUUCAAAUGGUAAAGGUGUUAUUAUAUGUCUAUAUGUUGAUGACAUGUUAAUUUUUGGCAUCGAUGUUCAGCAAGUAGAAAAUACUAAAAGUUUUUAAUCUUGCAAUUUUGAUAUGAAAGAUAUGGGGGAGGUUGAUAUUAUUUUGGGAAUUAAAAUUAUUCGUGAAAAUAAUGGUUUAUUUUUAACGCAGUCUUAUUAUAUCGAAAAGAUUCUUAGGAAAAAAUUAGUUAUUUUGACUGUACUCCAGUAUCUACUCCUUUUGAUCCUAAUCUAAAAUUAGUUCGCAAUACUGGUAGAUCAAUUAAUCAGUUAGAAUAUUCUAAGAUUAUUGGAAGUUUGAUGUAUGCCAUGUCUUGUACUAGGCCUGAUAUUGCAUUUGCUGUUGGUAAAUUAAGUAGAUUUAUUAGCAAUCCAGGUAAUGUACAUUGGCAUCCUAUUUACAGACUUUUGAAAUAUUUGAAAAAGACUAUGGAAUUUUCUAUAGUGGAUAUCCAACAGUAUUGGAAGGCUAUACAGAUGCCAGUUGGAUAACAAAUCAAGAAGAUCAUGCAUCCACAAGUGGGUAGAUAUUUAUAUUAGGUGGAGGUGCGAUUUCUUGGGGUUCUAAGAAACAAACAUGUAUAGCGGACUCUACCAUGGCAGCAGAAUUUAUAGCACUAGCGUCUGCUAGUAAGGAGGCGAAAUGGAUAAGGAAUUUAUUAUAUGAAAUUCUAGUUUGGCCAAAACCAAUGCCGCCGGUAUCGCUACAUUGCGAUCGUGAGGCUACGCUUUCGAGAGCAUAUAAUCAAACAUACAAUGGGAAGUCAAGACAUAUUGGAUUAAGACAUAGCUAUGUAAAACAACUGAUAUCAGAUGGCAUAAUUACCAUUGAUUUUGUAAGAUCAAACCAAAAUCUUGCGGAUCCGUUGACUAAGGGACUUCCAAGAGAAUUGAUAUUCAAGACAUCAAUGGGGAUGGAUCUCAAGCCCAUAUUACAAAGUCACCAAUGAUAGAAACUCGACUUAACACUUGAAACAUCAUCAAGUCUUAAGUUCAAUGAGCCAAAGUACAUCAUAUGGAGUGAUUGCAAGCACUAUAAUAUAAAAUUUCCAUCCCAAGUGCUUGGUAUCCGUAUUGAAAAGGGAAAGUUGAACUAAUAAAGUUCUUAAUAGACCUACAGUAGUAUUUACUGAAGUGUUAAAUACGGGACACUUCUGGUAGAGUCUACCUAUAUGAAUGUGAAGUGUGGCCGCUUCUAGGAGUUAAGGGCUUGACUCUAACAGCAUUCAUGAAACAGGAUGCGGACACAAGGCCAUAAAAGUGUCAGCAAUAAAAUAGAGCACUCGAUUGAUUAUAAAUUCCUAUGUGUGAGAUAUGUUCGGUUAGUCAAAAAAUAAUUGUUGGUUCAAAGCUUGUCUACCAUUCAAUUAUGUCUAACUUUGAUGAGUUUUCACUAAGUGUAGGUUCAAGUUUUAAUACAACUACACCUAUGCAUACGAUUUUGUCAAGUUGUCAAGAAUUUUGAUUUUUGAUUUUUGAUUUUUGAUUUUUGAUUUUGUUUUAUUUUGUAUUUUGAUGUAUUUUUAUGUAUUUUAAAAAUUGGUAGGGAAUUGUAAGGAAAUUUUUAAAAUAAUAUAUUUUUUUUAUUGAUUUUUAGUGAAUGGAUGCAACCCUUAGUGAGUGGAUGCAACUCUAAUCAAAGGAUGUGACUUUUAGUAAAAGGAUAUGACAUGAAAAGACACAUCUUUAUAGUGUGUCUCUUCGAGUAUAUGUCCGUUGGAAUUAAUUCUUACAUUCAUUGAACUUGACUCAUAUAACUAUUUGGUAGUUAUGGUCAAAUGAAAAGUCACAAUUGAAAGGUCACGUCACGAAAUACCCGUUCGUGGUCUAUAUAAGUCCACAGCGUUGGUUGCAGAAACGAAAGUAGAAAAAAAAAGAAACAGUUGAAGAGUUUAAAUCUCCAUUCAUAAUAAUUUCAUUCUUGUUUUCUUAUUCUUUUUGACAACUUAAUCAAGUGAGAGCUCAAAGGCUCGACUUCGUGUGUGCAAACGCAGUUGAAGUUUAUGCUUCAUUGUAUCCUGGGAGGCUGUUCGUUGACCCGGUGCACACCAAAUUGUUAGAACGGUAGGGAUGGAUUAAGCCUUAAGGAAAGUGGCAUUGCUACACGCCUUGAAGCCUUUUUUCAUCUUUCUAUUUCAUACCUUUUUCACUAUCUGCUCCAACAGCAAAUAGGGUUUAAAAUGUGACCUAAAGUGUGCAUGCUACCAAAUAUAGACAAAAUAUAACUGACAAAAUACAACAAGUUAUAUUGAAAGAACACAAUAAUCUACAAACAAUCAACUGUACUACAAAACCCACUACAACUUUUUUCAAAAAUCUAACCUCUAACCUAAUGAGGACAAUGUGGAUGCAAUGCUGAGGAGAGAGGGUGCGGUGGCGGCCUUGACGGUGGCAGCAGCAGCAGAGUCUUCGGUGCCGGCGACGGCGGCGUCGAAGUCGUCGGGUUCGGGCGGAGUGAGAGAGACAGAGAGGAAAUCGGGGAGAGGAGUAAGGGAGAAAGGAGAAGAGUUCGGGCGGAGUGAGGGAGACAGAGAGGAGAUCGGGGAGAGGAGUGAGGGAGAAAGGAGAAGGGUUCGGGCGGGGUCUAGGGUAUUCUAAUUAAAUGUGGUGAACUGUUCACUGCAUAUAAAAGCGGUAAACGGUUUACCGUAUUUAAAGACGAUGAAUGGUUCACCGCUUUUAAAUGCGGUGAAUAGUUAACCGUCUUUAAAAGUGGUAAACUGUUCACCACCUUUAAAGGAACGCGGUAAACCGUAUUCUUAAUUUUUCACACUAAUUCCCCACACCUGCCAGAGGCCCACAAAUGCGGUGAAUGGUUCACCGCAUAAGUAAAUGCGAUGAACCAUUCACCGCAUAUAAAGAUUUUACUCCGAGGAACUGACCUGGCCUAUUUGAGGCCUACUUUUACAAUAAAAUUUAGAGGACAAUUUUUAGAAAAAAAAUUUUAAGAUUAUUUAUAAAAAAAAUUCGUUUCUGCAACAUAGUACAUUUAUACUGUGCUAUUAAUAAGGUCACAUUUUCUAUUGAGACAUUAUUAUACUGCUGGAACGAAACAUCUAGUGAAUUAUUUAGUCUUCAAACAGAUAUCUGAUGUCACCAAUCUAGGAGAUGAUUACGAACCUAACUCUACAUGCAAAGAACUGCCUCAUGACAAUAUUAAGCGCAAUGAAAGCAAAGUGGAUGAUGAACAAAGAGGAGAAAUUUCAGAAUCCUUUGGAAUUGGAGGUUACGAAAGGAGGGACAACCUCUAAAGCCGAAAGCACCAAGGUGAAACACUAAAAAGAACGCAAAAACAUCACAAAUAUGGCCAUCUCCUUUAUCCAGUGUCCUACAUAGCAAAUUCCGAAAUUCCUCUUAUCUCCUCUUAUUUACUCGAGAACUAGUUGAUUGUUAAUAUACAUAAAAAGUUGUAUAAAACCAAAUAAAAAGGAAAAUGUAAUCUUAAUUUUUUAAGGUUAUGAUAAAUCAACUUGUAGGUAAAUAAACUACCUUAAGAAUUCACAACGACCAGCCAAACUAUGAACUUACAAUCACCCAAGAAAACCAUCAUCAAACAAAGGUGGUCUACAUACAACCUUUUGAGACAUCAGGUAGAUGUUUGCAUUAAAAAGUUUCCGAAAAGAAAAUAAGUUUUCUUAUCCGCUAUAACUUUCUCCUACUAGGCUUUUGUUAGGCUUCUCGCUAUAUUAGCAAGCAAAAUGAUAUCCUAAAUACUUUACCUUAAAUAAGGAAAAUCACAUAAAUAUGUUCCUCUCUAUAAACCAUAAAAGUAAAUUUGAAAUGUGUAAAAUUUCUAAUUUAAAAAUUUUUACAUUUCUAUUUUCCUGAUAUAAUUUGAAAUGUGUGCAGGCCACAGCCUCAGACGGAUUGAGUGAAGAGGCGGACUUUGCAAGUGAAAAGGAUGAAAACAUGUGCAAGAAAGAUGAUUGUGCUAGAGAGACCGCUCAAGAUUUUCUGGAGGAAACUACUCAUAGAGCUUGGAAGGGCGGAGAGGAAACAGAUGCAAAGAAUAUUGGAAGUGAAGACAAUGAUAGAGAUGUAAAAGGAAUCCCUGAUGUGGCACCUCAGGGAGAUUAUAAUACAAAGACACCAGAUAAUACAUACACAAAAGAAAUUAUGAUAGCAAUAGAACAAGAAGAUGAGGCAAGGACACAAGUGAGAUCAGACAAUGAGGAAACAGAAGGUGAAAAGGUAUCAACAUAUCAACUCUGCCCUUUUCAACUUUUGUAGUCUUUUUAAGCAUUUGCUAAUUACUAAACUGUUGACACGUGUAACGAAUUAGGACUGAAGAGGAAACUUGAGCAAUGAUUAUAUGAUUAUAUAGAUAUAAGCCAUAUCUGUUGUUUCCGUGAUACUGUAUUUUCUUUUGUGCUAGUUACCAUUAGCUUUAUUUUUUUAUCAAACCAUUUUAUUAACUUCUUACAAUUUCAUUUAAGCAGAUAUCUAGUGUCAAAGGUGACAGUGAACCCACAAAGGUGGAGAAUGAAUACAUAAGCAACACUGUUGGUGAUGCCUCUGAUACAGGAGAGCCAACUGGGAAGCCUGCAGACGUAGAUGAUGUGGUAGACGAUGUGCAGGAAGAAACCAUAGGAUCUACAUGUGACGAACAACAUCAGGAAAAUAUUGAGAGCAACGAAAAAAACGAGGAUGGUGAACAGAGAGAAGACAAACAUCAAACUCUUCAACAAGAGGAAUUAGUUUCUGAAGUUGAAAAUCAAGAGACAACCUCCACAACAGGCGCUAAAAAGAUGGAGAUCUCAAAAGAAGGCGAAAACCUCAUUAAUAUGGUAACCUGCUUUAUUCAAUUGCAUAGUAUGUUAAAUUCCUUGGGACCUUUCUGGAAGCUAAAAUAACUUACCCAGCAUAUCUUCUCUUACUGACUCGAGAACUAUUUAUUUCUUGAUUGUUAAGGAGAACAAAAUUAUGUCUAAACCGAAGAGCAAAAAAAGUAAGCAAACUUAUUUUUAAGGAUAUGAUAAAUCACCUUGUAGGUGAACUGGUGAAGCAUAUUAGUUUAUAUCAUCAUGGCGGAAAAUUGUCUAAAGUCAAAGUCUGUUCUCAUAAUCACUAAUUGUUACCUCCAUCCAAUACUAGUUAUCUACACAUACAUUAAGGGUUUGUAUAUUGCGCAGUUGUAGAGAUUUUUUACACUCCCUAUCAACCAUUACCACAUGCACCUUGAGCAAACAGAAAGUCAUCAGCUGAACAAGAUACUCGUGCGUCUAAGAUUCUAAAUAGGCCAUAUAGAUUUUGCAUUGAAAGACAAUACAAUAAUUCUAGCCUGUCAACUAUUUUUGAAACUUGUCUUUUAUUAAACCUCUAAUUUACCUACUGUGGGCAGAUUUCUGAAUCAGUAAAUCUGGAGGAAACUAAAAUUGAAAAUGACACGGAUGAUGAGAAGAUCAAGGAGAGCGUUGAAGAUAAUCCCCGAGAUCAUGCCUUGCUUUCACAAACAAGACAUGAUGUAGCAGACGAAGACCACACAAAAGCAGAUCAAAGUUUGGAAGGGAAGGACGGUAAUAUUGUAAGUCUUGAGAAAGAAAGUAUCAAAAGCAAGGGACCUGAUGAGGUUCACCCCAGUGAAUCAGAAGCACAUCAGCGUUUGGUGGACAAAGACAACAAUAUUGUAAGUCUUGAAAAAGAAAGCAUUGAAAGCAAAGGGCCUGAUGAGGUUCAACCCGGUGAAUCAGAAGCCACCAAGGUAGACUUUCUUUUGAAUUCUUCAAAACUUUAUGUAUUUAAUUUAACUAUUCAAUUUGCUUUCCUUAAACUCUCUGUUUUUCCAACAUGCCUCCUCAUCUCAAGUUUGACUUGUGAAAAUUUUGAUCAAGCAGGUUGCUGAAAUUGUUAGCACAACUGACGAAGCUGAAACUACGUCUGUAGAUGGAGGGGAAAGUGUUGAUGUUGACAAAGAUAAGGCAGAGUAUCAAGAGCACAAAAACGUUAUAGAGUCAGUGAUGGAGGAAUAUAAUAAAGGGGGAGCAAAUGAAACACAAAUGGCCAAGAGCCACCAGGUAAUAAUUGAUUCAAUGCCACGUAUGGUUUCGUACUAAGUCCAAAAUUCGUAUAUUUUACUGCAUGGCCAGAAGUAUAGAAACGAUUGAACUAAUAAUUCUUAGCUUCUCCUCUAAAACCCCCAUUUCUAUAUAACAUUAAUUGUUGUCCUAUCUUGAUCAGAUUCCUGAAAUGGAUGAUCUAAGCCCUGAAAAGGCUUCGGAGACAAAUGAAUCGGUGAUGAAAGAUAUGCAUGACAAAACUAAAACAAAGCAUGAAGAAGAGCCAGAUUUUGCAAGUAACAAGCCAAUUAAUCAGACUACCAUGCCUGAACAAAGUCGAAUUCCUGAAGAAGAAAAUACUAUCAUGGAAAGCAAAACAGAGUCAAGCUUCCCAAAGGAUGCAAUUGAAAAUGCCCUGAAAUCAGACCCUGAAGAGAAGGAUGAGGAAAUGCUAAAGAAUGACGAGUCCUCACAUAUUUUCCCAGAGUCCUCUCCCGACGCUGAUCAUAACAUUGCUGAGGGAUUAUGUCAUCAAGAUGAAGGGAACAAGAUAUAUGAGGAUGCAGCACCAGAAACUGCAUUCGGCAAUCAAAGCUGUGAAGCAAAUGAGGAGCAAAGAGAAACAGAGAAAAAAGAUAUGCCUAUGAAGUACAUUGACACUGUAAACAGUCAAGAAGAGACGAUACAUAAAGAAGAUUCUGAUAAUGUGGAAGAGAGCGAGAAGUGUGCAGGAGAGGAUGGAACCGCUUUAACACUUGAGCGAGCAUCUGCAGCAAAGGAUGAUGAACAAAGAGAAGAGAAAUUUCAAAAUCCUCAUGACAUAGAAUCAGAAAUGGACGUUAAGAAAGAAAAGACAACCUCUGAAGCAGAAAGCUCCAAGGUAGCGCACUUUUGGCAAAAACAUCACAAAUAUGUCCAUCUCCUUUAUCCAGUAUCCCACAUAUCAAAUUCCGAAAUUCCUAUUAUCUCCUCUUAUUUAUUCAAGAACUAUUAAGUUAGUUGAUUGUUAAUAUACAUAAAAAGGUGUAUAAAACCAAAUAAAAAGGAAAAUGGAAUCUUAAUUUUUUAAGGUUAUGAUAAAUCAACUUAUAGGUAAAUACACUACCUUAAAAAUUCACAACGACCAGCCAAACUAUGAACUUACAAUCACCCAAGAAAACCAUCAUCAAACAAAGGUGGUCUACAUACAACCUUUUGAGACAUCAGAUAGAUGUUUGCAUUAAAAAGUUUCAGCAAAGAAAAUAAGUUUUCUUAUCUGCUGUUACAUUCUCCUACUAGGCUUUUGUUAGGCUUCUAGCUAUAUUAGCCAGCAUAAUGAUAUCCUAAAUACCUUACCUUAAAUAAGUAAAAUCACAUAAAUAUGUUCCUCCCUAUAAACCUUAAAAGCAAAUUUGAAAUGUGUAAAAUUUCUAAUUUAAAAAUUUUUACAUUUCUAUUUUCCUGAUAUAAUUUGAAUGGUGUGCAGACCACAGCCUCAGACGGAUUGAGUGAAGAGGCGGACUUUGCAAGCGAAAAGGAUGAAAACAUGUGCAAGAAAGGUGAUUGUGCUAGAGAGACCGUUCAAGAUUUUUCGGAGGAAACUACUCAUAGAGCAGGGAAGGGCGGAGAGGAAACAGAUACAAAGAAUAUUGGAGGUGAAGACAAUGAUAGAGAUGUAAAAGGAAUCCCAGAUGUGGCACCUCAGGGAGAUUAUAAUACAAAGACACCAAAUAAUACAUACACAAAAGAAAUUAUGAUAGCAGUAGAACAAGAAGAUGAGGCGAGGACACAAGUGAGUUCAGAUAAUGAAAAAACAGAAGGUGAAAAGGUAUCAACAUAUCAACUCUGCCCUUUUCAACUUUUUUUAGCCUUUUUAAGCAUUUGCUAUUAACUAAACUGUUGAUACGUGUAAGGAAUUAGGGCUAAAGAGGAAACUUGAGCAACGAUUAUAUAAUUAUAUAGAUAUAAGUCAUAUAUGUUGUUUCCGUGAUAUCGUAUUUUCUUUUGUGCUUGCUAUCAUUAGCUUUAUUUUUUGAUCAAACCAUUUUAUUAACUUCUUACAAUUUCAUUUAAGCAGAUAUCCAGUGUCAAAGGUGACAGUGAACCCACAAAGGUGGAGGAUGAAUACAUAAGCAACACUGUUGUUGAUGCCUCUGAUACAGGAGAGCCAACUGGGAAGCCUGCAAACGUAGACGAUGUGGUAGAUGAUGUGCAGGAAGAAACCAUAGGAUCUAUAUGUGAAGAACAACAUCAGGAAAAUGUUGAGAGCAACGAAAAAAAUGAGGAAGGUGAACAGAGAGGAGAGGAACAUCAAACUCUUCAACAAGAGGAAUUAGUUUCUGAAGUUGAAAAUCAAGAGACAACCUCCACAACAGGAGCUAAAAAGAUGGAGAUCUCAAAAGAAGGCGAAAACCUCAUUAAUAUGGUAACCUGCUUUAUUCAAUUGCAUAGUAUGUUAAAUUCCUUGGGACCUAUCUGGAAGCUAAAAUAACUUACCCAGCAUAUCUCCUCUUACUGACUCGAGAACCAUUUAUUUCUUGAUUGUUAAGGAGCACAAAAUUAUGUCUAAACAAAGAGCAAAAAAAGUAAACAAACUUAUUUUUAAGGAUAUGAUAAAUCACCUUGUAGGUGAACUCGUGAAACAUACUAGUUUAUAUCACUAUAGCUUUUAGGGAAUUGUCUAAAGUCAAACUCUUUUCUCAUAAUCACAAAUUGUUACCUCCAUCCAAACUAGUUAUCUACAUAUACAUUAAGGGUCUGUACGUUGCGCAGUUGUAGAGAUUUUUUACACUCCCUAUCAACCAUUACCACAUGCACCUUGAGCAAACAGUAAGUCAUCUGCUAAACAAGAUACUCGUGCAUCUAAAUAGGCCAUAUAGCUUUUGCAUUGAAAGACAAUACAAUAAUUCUAGCCUGUCAACUAUUUUUGAAACUUGUAUUUUAUUAAACUUCUAAUUUACCAACUGUGGGCAGAUUUCUGAAUCAGUAAAUCUGGAGGAAACUAAAAUUGAAAAUGACACGGAUGACGAGAAGAUCAAGGAGAGCAUUGAAGAUAAUCCCCGAGAUCUUGCC
RNAcentral lists this long non-coding RNA (17256 nucleotides) under Ananas comosus (pineapple). RNAcentral describes it as "long non-coding RNA (ACOM_LNC019673)". Lineage: Eukaryota; Viridiplantae; Streptophyta; Magnoliopsida; Poales; Bromeliaceae. The record is from RNAcentral.